Molecule: long non-coding RNA, 1580 nt
Filed under: Homo sapiens (human)
Lineage: Eukaryota; Metazoa; Chordata; Mammalia; Primates; Hominidae
Description: HSALNT0344460
Source: RNAcentral
CCACGCUCUCAGGGGCUACCCCAGUUAAGGAGGCGCUGUCCUGGCGUCGGAUGGGGACGGGGAACGCGGCGAGGGCGCUGCGACCUCUGCCCACCUGGCCCGGCCGCAGUCUCGGAGUUCCUGUUCCUCACAGGAGCUAAUUAUUUAUGACAGCUGCAUGGUUCCCCUCCCCCAGUUACUCAGUGCUUGGCACUCGGCACCCCUUACUCAGCACUCAGUACCGCACUCGGCCUCAGGGGACCUGGGCAGAGGGAAGCAGGGAGUCUCCCGCGGAAACUCUUGCUCUGCCAAAGCUUGGGGAGAGGUUGGCCUCUCAUGCUUCUAACUCAUCAGCUGUUACCUGUGGGAGCUACUACCUACUCAGCAUCGCUCAGGGCACUGCAUUACGCCUUCCAGGCAAUUAUACAAGGUACUGCUUGAGCUUAAGCAAACUGAGAGAAGAUUUAGCACACUUUCUAAAGAGAAACAGAUGAUCAAGACUCUGCUAGCAGGAGAAAAAGAGAGAAAAGAGAGAUGAAAAAGUCUUGUGUGACCAGAAGCUUAUCAACCUUGUGUGCUGUUGGCUUACUUUAACAUUUACAGCAGAUGAUAGAAUUGUGUUCAGAUGACACAAUAAGGUAUCAAAUGACUUCACGAAAGCAAGACGGCACUGAACCCCAAGUUUGUGCCUUCAGUCUCUCGCCUCGGCACCUAGGUAAUCCUUUGCCCACAGGACCACACCACCCUCCCCCAGUGAGAGGAACCAGAGUGACGGGAAAGGGAAGCCCCACACAACCAGCACUCGAGGCCCGGCCCACUGGGAGCACUGGGUGGCCUGGCCUGGGAAAGCCCCUUGUGCCCCUUGGGUGGCACCAGCAGGUACCCGUGGGAGCUCCAGCAGCACCAGACAAACCAAGCAGACCCAAGAUAGCACCAUGAAGGCUCUGAACAUCAAAUUGUCACUGGAAGCAUGGCCUGCAGAAGCGGGCCACAAUCCUCACACUAAACCUAAGCAGAGCGACUGGCUGCAAAAAGGAAAGACUUAAAAAAUAGGAUCCAGAGACCUUCCUCUUCCUCAUGAGUUUUCCAAAUCACACUUGAUUGAAACAAAAACGUUAGCACCAUCUGAGACUCAGGACAGUGAUAUUUAUGAGCGGGGAGGGUAAAGGAAGCUCCAUGCUAUAAGUUCCGCACCUCGCUUGAAGUAGGAAAAGGCCACGGCACGCAGGACUCACUGAGUGGCUACCAAAAGAAACCAACGCUGAGCUAUAGCAUGGCAAGCUAAUACUACAUUUUGGAAAAGCACGCAUAUUGAAAUUUGCGUCAUUUGUGCUAUUAUUUGUGCUAUUAUAAAGACCUGACGCCUGGUGGAACCGUGCUUACAAUGUGUGGGUACUUAAACGCGUGUUCUGAAAAACUCCUCUGCUGCUUCUUCCUCUGAUUUCACAUUCGGUAAACCUGCAAGUGCACACAUUUCAUCCCCUUGCAAGACUGUUGUCAGUGCUCAGUAAGUCUACAUUUUACAUAGGAUGAGGUGAUUACAAAGAUGGCACCAUGGAUAAACGACACUACCUGUGUUAGCAGUUGUGACUUUUCCUUCU